This 1392-nucleotide ribosomal RNA is filed under the name Staphylococcus aureus. Its description in RNAcentral is "bacterial SSU rRNA". It matches the Rfam family "Bacterial small subunit ribosomal RNA", at positions 69 to 1443 of the family's 1533-position model. The record is from RNAcentral. Lineage: Bacteria; Bacillati; Bacillota; Bacilli; Caryophanales; Staphylococcaceae.
ACGGACGAGAAGCUUGCUUCUCUGAUGUUAGCGGCGGACGGGUGAGUAACACGUGGAUAACCUACCUAUAAGACUGGGAUAACUUCGGGAAACCGGAGCUAAUACCGGAUAAUAUUUUGAACCGCAUGGUUCAAAAGUGAAAGACGGUCUUGCUGUCACUUAUAGAUGGAUCCGCGCUGCAUUAGCUAGUUGGUAAGGUAACGGCUUACCAAGGCAACGAUGCAUAGCCGACCUGAGAGGGUGAUCGGCCACACUGGAACUGAGACACGGUCCAGACUCCUACGGGAGGCAGCAGUAGGGAAUCUUCCGCAAUGGGCGAAAGCCUGACGGAGCAACGCCGCGUGAGUGAUGAAGGUCUUCGGAUCGUAAAACUCUGUUAUUAGGGAAGAACAUAUGUGUAAGUAACUGUGCACAUCUUGACGGUACCUAAUCAGAAAGCCACGGCUAACUACGUGCCAGCAGCCGCGGUAAUACGUAGGUGGCAAGCGUUAUCCGGAAUUAUUGGGCGUAAAGCGCGCGUAGGCGGUUUUUUAAGUCUGAUGUGAAAGCCCACGGCUCAACCGUGGAGGGUCAUUGGAAACUGGAAAACUUGAGUGCAGAAGAGGAAAGUGGAAUUCCAUGUGUAGCGGUGAAAUGCGCAGAGAUAUGGAGGAACACCAGUGGCGAAGGCGACUUUCUGGUCUGUAACUGACGCUGAUGUGCGAAAGCGUGGGGAUCAAACAGGAUUAGAUACCCUGGUAGUCCACGCCGUAAACGAUGAGUGCUAAGUGUUAGGGGGUUUCCGCCCCUUAGUGCUGCAGCUAACGCAUUAAGCACUCCGCCUGGGGAGUACGACCGCAAGGUUGAAACUCAAAGGAAUUGACGGGGACCCGCACAAGCGGUGGAGCAUGUGGUUUAAUUCGAAGCAACGCGAAGAACCUUACCAAAUCUUGACAUCCUUUGACAACUCUAGAGAUAGAGCUUUCCCCUUCGGGGGACAAAGUGACAGGUGGUGCAUGGUUGUCGUCAGCUCGUGUCGUGAGAUGUUGGGUUAAGUCCCGCAACGAGCGCAACCCUUAAGCUUAGUUGCCAUCAUUAAGUUGGGCACUCUAAGUUGACUGCCGGUGACAAACCGGAGGAAGGUGGGGAUGACGUCAAAUCAUCAUGCCCCUUAUGAUUUGGGCUACACACGUGCUACAAUGGACAAUACAAAGGGCAGCGAAACCGCGAGGUCAAGCAAAUCCCAUAAAGUUGUUCUCAGUUCGGAUUGUAGUCUGCAACUCGACUACAUGAAGCUGGAAUCGCUAGUAAUCGUAGAUCAGCAUGCUACGGUGAAUACGUUCCCGGGUCUUGUACACACCGCCCGUCACACCACGAGAGUUUGUAACACCCGAAGCCGGUGGAGUAACCUUU